UGGAAACUUUGGAAACACUUAAGAAAAAGUUGAAUUUCAAGUGCAUUUUUAAGCCGAAUAAAUAUUUUUUUUUUCAAUUUCUUUUCAUCAUGAGAUUCUUUGUGAAAUAUUCUAAAAGAAUUUUAAUAGUUUUUAUUAAAAUUUCGACCAAUUGGAAAAUUCAAUUAAUUUAAAAAACACAUUUUGUAAAGACGGUUUUACAUAACCAAUACAGUAGAGUCUCGCUAUAGUCCAUAUUUGGUUCCAGAUUUGACACUUGGGUCGCACUAUAGUCCAUGUCUUUUUUUAAAAUUAUCAACGACUUUUAGUAUUGAAAUUGCUCGACGGCUUCCACUUUCCUUGCGAUUGUGGUAUUUGUUCUCACUCUCUUCAUUAUGGAUCACAAUUAUCACAACUACUCAAUUAAGUUUGCCAAAAAUAUUAAAAUAAUUAUGACAAAAUUUCAUGUCGCGUACUAAAAAAACAUAACUUAAUUAAAAUCAGUGUUUUGAAAUCAACGGUCGAUAAAUUGUGGACUAUAGAGCGAUGGCCUAUAGCGAGACUACUGUAUCCUAAUUCUUUUUGAAACAUAAAAACCUUAGACACACCUUAUCAUUUUUUUUCACAAAUAAUGCGCGAAGAAAAACCUUAAUUUUCUGGCUAAAAUUACCCCAGUCUUAUUUAAAAUUGAGAGUGCUUUUGCAACUUAAGCGACUUCACUUUUAAUCAUGGAACUUUGCUUUAUAAGAAUCGUAAAAGAAUUGUAAUAGUAUGGCACUGUAAUUUUAAAAAUUUUCACGUAACUCCAAACGCAAACAUAAAUUUUCCUAAUAAUAUGCUAAUAUUACUUAAAAUAAAAUAGUAAUUUUAAGACUUAUGACUACAUUGCUUGUAAUAUUACACAACUUUUCCCAAACCUAACUUUUAUAUUUACAAAUUUUAUUCUUUUUUAGACAAGGACAAUGCAUUGUCUACCCACGGGCCACUGAUCCAUACAAGAUGCUUUGGGAGGCGCUUUCAGUGGUUAUUACGUCGCGUCAUGCAACUAAUUAAAAAAAUUACUGUGAUAAAACAAAGCAAAUAAAAAAAUAUAUUCUAAAUUUUAUUUAAUUUUGUUUUAUUUAUGAUUUAUAGAAAAGAAAUAAACCAAAAGAAAAUUCAACCAAAAAAAAAAAAAAUUCAGCUAAGAAAAAUCAACUAAAUUGAUUCAACUAAGCAAAAUUAAACAGAAAAAAAAUUCAGUCCACUAAAUUCAACUUUAGAAAUUUUAAACUAAAAAUUUUCAACUUAGAAAAAAUUCAACGGGUUGAAUUCAACUAGAAAAAUUCAGCGAAAAUUACUACGAAAAUCGAUGCUCUCCCAUUACACGCGAUAAUCGUAGUAAUUAUUUUUUACUGUGUACACAGUAAAAACAAGAUGAAUUUUUCUAGUUGAAUUCCUUAUAACACAUCUUGUCUGGAAAGUCUGGAAUGUAGAAAAAAUCUACAGAAAAUCGGCAGAAUAUCUACAGAAAUUCGUCAGAGAUUCGUCAGAAAAUCUGCCGAAAUAUUCUGACGAAUUUUUUCCCAAGCCCAAAUAAAAUUCGUAAGAAUAUCUACAGAAUUUAUCUGCAGAUAUUCUGUAGAGGUGUAGAUUUUCUCUACAGAAAUCUUAAAGAUAUCUGCAGAUAUUAUUUGACGGGUUGGGUCCUUUAAUCCUUUUUCUUCUUUUUUUUUAAGAACCGCGAAACAUUUGAAUUAUCUGUCUCUCUCACUCAUUCUCUUGUCAUUUCAUCUGUCAUUCAUGCGAUUGUGGUUAUUUUGCCUGGGAUUGAGAGGGAAAAGUUAUUGUGACACCAAUUUAUGGGCAAUACUGAUAUUUAUCUUGUUUGUAGUUUUGGGGGCUUUUUGGUGCAUCGAACAGGUGGACAAAAUGACAAUUGCUGUCAAAUUUUAAUGACAAACAGA
Long non-coding RNA from Phlebotomus papatasi, 1925 nucleotides. RefSeq lists it as uncharacterized. The record is from RefSeq and is a predicted model, not a curated record. The transcript is spliced from 2 exons. NCBI's taxonomy places the organism in Eukaryota, Metazoa, Arthropoda, Insecta, Diptera, Psychodidae.